UACGUAGGUGGCAAGCGUUAUCCGGAAUUAUUGGGCGUAAAGCGCGCGUAGGCGGUUUCUUAAGUCUGAUGUGAAAGCCCACGGCUCAACCGUGGAGGGUCAUUGGAAACUGGGAAACUUGAGUGCAGAAGAGGAAAGUGGAACUCCAUGUGUAGCGGUGAAAUGCGCAGAGAUAUGGAGGAACACCAGUGGCGAAGGCGACUUUCUGGUCUGUAACUGACGCUGAUGUGCGAAAGCGUGGGGAUCAAACAGG
RNAcentral lists this ribosomal RNA (253 nucleotides) under uncultured bacterium. RNAcentral describes it as "partial 16S ribosomal RNA". It matches the Rfam family "Bacterial small subunit ribosomal RNA", at positions 524 to 776 of the family's 1533-position model. The record is from RNAcentral.